RNAcentral lists this ribosomal RNA (253 nucleotides) under uncultured bacterium. RNAcentral's name for it is "partial 16S ribosomal RNA". It matches the Rfam family "Bacterial small subunit ribosomal RNA", at positions 524 to 776 of the family's 1533-position model. The record is from RNAcentral.
UACGGAGGGGGCUAGCGUUGUUCGGAUUUACUGGGCGUAAAGCGCAUGUAGGCGGCUUUUCAAGUUGGGGGUGAAAUCCCGGGGCUUAACCCCGGAAUUGCCUUCAAAACUGGAUGGCUAGAGACAGAGAGAGGUGAAUGGAAUUUCCAGUGUAGAGGUGGAAUUCGUAGAUAUUGGAAAGAACACCAGUGGCGAAGGCGGUUCACUGGCUCUGUUCUGACGCUGAGGUGCGAAAGCGUGGGGAGCAAACAGG